RNAcentral lists this ribosomal RNA (283 nucleotides) under uncultured bacterium. RNAcentral describes it as "partial 16S ribosomal RNA". It matches the Rfam family "Bacterial small subunit ribosomal RNA", at positions 355 to 627 of the family's 1533-position model. The record is from RNAcentral.
UGGGGAAUAUUGGACAAUGGGCGAAAGCCUGAUCCAGCCAUGCCGCGUGUGUGAAGAAGGUCUUCGGAUUGUAAAGCACUUUAAGUUGGGAGGAAGGGCAGUAAAUUAAUACUUUUGCUGUUUUUGGACGUUACCGACAGAAUAAGCACCGGCUAACUCUGUGCCAGCAGCCGCGGUAAUACAGAGGGUGCAAGCGUUAAUCGGAAUUACUGGGCGUAAAGCGCGCGUAGGUGGUUCGUUAAGUUGGAUGUGAAAUCCCCGGGCUCAACCUGGGAACUGCAUU